AUUUGUGAUUCUACUGUGAAUCAACCAAGACUGAACAAAGUCUUGAAUUGUGGACUUGCAGGUGUGGGAGUGUUUGGUGAAUUCUUUUCCCGCUUUUUCAAACAUGGAAGCUGCACUAAAAAGAUUCAUAUUAAUCAGUUAAAACCUGUCUUUAGUACAUAUUUGCACUUCUGUAAUUCCUAGAUUCUCUGUGACUCACCUUCAGCAGCCCAUUCCUGUUCCAUGCUCUGUGGUGAGCAGACAUACAGACAGCUACGCUGGUACAAGUGAAUGCCUGAAGCAGAGACUGCUCAUCCGGCUGAUGAGGAAAUCAAACUUUGUUGAAUUAUACAAGCAGGAGAUGAAGGAAGACUAAAAGCCAGCCUUGCUGGAAUUCAGAAUGUGCAUAUGCAAUCUGCAUUUGCCUACCGGGAGAUCCCUGGCAAGCACUUACUUCUCUAUUCUUCUGUAACAGAUCAGAGUUAUGCUCAGCACAAGUUAAGCAGAGAAAUGUGGAAUCAUCUCUCCAUCAGUUAUGCUGGGCAGCUUUGCAAACAGCCAGCUUUAGGAAGAGAGGAGGCUGAAGAGCACAGCCAUCUAACACCCUUCAAUAAAAACA
Molecule: long non-coding RNA, 598 nt
Organism: Passer domesticus (house sparrow)
Lineage: Eukaryota; Metazoa; Chordata; Aves; Passeriformes; Passeridae
Exons: 3
Source: RefSeq, a predicted model, not a curated record